This 1006-nucleotide long non-coding RNA is filed under the name Olea europaea (common olive). RNAcentral's name for it is "long non-coding RNA (OEUR_LNC006504)". Lineage: Eukaryota; Viridiplantae; Streptophyta; Magnoliopsida; Lamiales; Oleaceae. The record is from RNAcentral.
GCGAAAUCGAUAAAUUAGGCCUCCCAACGAAUUUUUUUUUCUAAACAAAGAUGGUAUACAUAAAAUUAACUACUACCUAGUUUAUUCUUUCCAUAGUAUCAAAACAAAUCAAAACUCUUAAGAGUCUAGUUAAAAUCAAUUCUUUGUCCCUUGGUCAAGUCCAUUUCUUUUCUGUCCUCCACUCUAUCUUGUCCUAUAUCUAUGACCAAUAACAAAGAAUAAGUGAUGGCACCAGCUCUCAAACCUCAGCAACUUCUCUCAAGUAGAAAUGAAUCUGAAUCGAAAUCGAAAGUUCUAGUUUGGAUUAGAUUUUAAUAAUUAAGUGAACCCCAAAUGGUUCCAUUUAGCUCAAAGUACAAUGAAUGGUUUUCAAGUAUUAAAAUACUCAUACUGAUCCACUCCAUGCACAUGCCUAUAUUUUGUCACGUACGUAAUAAAUUAGUAAAUCUGCUAAUAAGCCACUCUCGACAACAAAAUUUGCUCAGAUUUUUAUUUUUUCCCCCCUAAAAUUGAAAUCUCAAAUUGGAGCUUCGUCUUAGGCCUUUUAAAGAAAAUCAUCCAUAGUUCAACCUACCUAACCAAGUCAUGUGAAACAUCAAAUAACAAUCAAGAGUUGAGUGCCUUAUCCUAUCUCGCACUUCAUCAUCAUCAUCAUCACAUACCCACAGAAUUCAGUAAAGGCAUUGAAGUUUAAUUAUGUAUUGUACUGUAAUCCAAAUACCCUCUUCAAAGAACUUUAACACGGUAACACUCAACCCUCGUCAGGGCCGUCCCAUUCCUUUUCCCUUCCCAACUCUUUCCAAGAACUUCUCUAAAAUUCAAUUACAGUAUACCCCACAGUCCACAUAGAAUAAAAAAGACCAUUUAUCAAUUAAAAUCAAGCCAUCAAAAUUAUAAUAAGUAAAUGCCUAAAUGUAAAUGGUAAAAGAGUUGAACUCACUAGUCACUAGCCCUAGGGAAGGAAACUCGAACUCACUCGUUCGACAACAAAAAUGCCAAUCCAGUA